This is a non-coding RNA of Myodes glareolus (Bank vole), 2074 nucleotides long. Lineage: Eukaryota; Metazoa; Chordata; Mammalia; Rodentia; Cricetidae. The record is from RefSeq and is a predicted model, not a curated record.
CCAGCCAGUCACCUCCCAUGAAACAGGAGGCUAUUAAAGCUCCAAAUGACUCUGGAGAUCCAGCUAUUGCCUCUCAGUUCAGUUACCCUCCUCUAGGGAGCCGGGCAUCGGAAGAUCAUUCGCGGUAACCAAGAGAGAAUGGGGCAAGGCUGAAGCUAAAUCUGGGUCUCCAGGCUCCAGGUCCAGCACUCCUAACGUGACAACUCUCUCAGUACCUUGACAUCAGGAAAGAGACUAAUUAGCCCAGAAGGCCUUAAGGAGUUCAUCUUAGGGUUGUUUAGUGAAAACUUCAGGACCCAAAACAAGGCAACCAAAAACCGAGAAAAGCAAGUGAUUGGCCAAUGCUCUCUCAACCAGGAAGUGAGAAUCCAGAACUCAGGGGGCCUGACCCCAGGACCAACACUCCUCUCCCUGAGGUGGCUCUCCCACAGAUGAAUGGGCGCUCUGUCUACUUGUCUUGAGGAGAAAAUGACUUUUCUACGAAGUCAAAGUUGAUGAAAAGAAAAGCUUUAUGGCCUAAGAUGUUUCUGCUUGGAUCUUCAGUGUCGUUGUUUUCAGAAACGAAGCCGAAACUCUAAAUAAUCCAUAGUCAACCCUUGUUGCUAGAUCUGCCAAGCAAUUUUCACCUGAAAGCAACCAGCACACUCCGUGGGAGACAUAAAUAUUAACCAGACACACCCCUAGAUGAGCUUACUUUCCUGCUAGCCCAACAGUGCCCCACCUUGGGUGGAACUUUCUGGGUUUUCUCUGGGGGGAGAAUUGAGCCUGGAUGGACGGAAGGGUUCCUGCACAGGUGCUAGGCAUGCAAUUAAUAUAUAUCACCUCAUUUUUUAUAUGAACAACGAGAUUCAUUUUUAACUAUGUAUCUAUUUGGAGUAAGUGCAGACAGGGAUGGUUUUGUUUUUCAUGGUAGGUUGUCAACAGGUAGCUUCAAACUCAAAUGGAAAACCAAGCUUACAGUUCAGACUGAGUAACCGGGGCAGUAGAAAGUGCACACGUGCGUGCCUGCAUGUCAGUGUAGGUGGACACCUAUAGGAAGGUCACAGGUCAGCAUCAGCUAUCUUCCUUGUCACUUCUCUGCCUUAUUUUUGGAGACAGGAGCUGUCUGGAACUCGUUUAUCCAGCUAGACUGGCUGUCCAGGGAGCUUCAGGAAUCUCCCCGUCUGAGUCACCAGCCCCGGAAUGACAGACGCGCACCAGUAUGACCAGCUUUUCCUUGGUGCUGUGGAUAUGGACUCGGGUCCUUAUGCCUCUUUGCUGCAGCACGUUACCCGCGGUGCCAUCUCCUCAGCCCCAACUGCUUCCUACUUGGUAUUAUGCAAACGUCCCACAGAAGCCAAAGCAUGAGAAAGGAAAGUAGGAUAAAAUUUGAAUUCGUGAUCCGUAUGCAUGGCCAGACUUGGAGUGGAAUUGGAUUUAUCGCGUCCAACCUUUUAUUUACAGAUGAGGAAACAGGUUCUGUGAAAAUAGAUUCUCCAGUUCUGGGAGAAGCACUCAGGAAAGUCUUCCUCCAGGUAGCAGCAGCAGCAGCAGCAGCAGCAGCAGCAGCAGGCUUAGACACUAGGCUUGGAGAGAGCCUUUGUUUUCCUGAAUGCAAAGUCCUCAUGAAAGGGAUUCAUCUGCUGCCGGGGCCCAGGACUUCCCACAUCUUCUCAAUGGGAUGCUGCUAUAGUAAGAUGUUGAUGUUCUAACUUGGAGUUCUACUGGCAAGAGAGAGAGACAGAGAGAGAGAGAGAGAGAGAGAGAGAGAGAGAGAGAGAGAGAGAGAAAGAGAGAGAGAGAGAAAAGAAAUUGCCAUUUCCCAUCCUGCUUUGUGUUCUAACCUUUCUCAGACUUUAGUCUAAACUCAUACACUCAUACAUUCUUCAUGUACCUGAGAGUUAGCUUCCCUAAAAACCCUGCUAUAUCCCAAUGUCCUUAGGAAUCUCACAAGGACAAGGAAUUAAUCCAAAGGGGAAAGGGAUCAAAAAACUUCGAAAAAAAAAAAAAAAAAACACCUGAUGGGGCUUGGGCUUGACUUCCCAGUUAUUUUUUAAGGAUUCCCAUUUGAGGAAUGCUUCCUUGGAAUAAAAUA